AGAGUUUGAUCAUGGCUCAGAUUGAACGCUGGCGGCAUGCCUUACACAUGCAAGUCGAACGGUAACGGGCCUUCGGGUGCCGACGAGUGGCGAACGGGUGAGUAAUGCAUCGGAACGUACCUUUCAGUGGGGAUAACGUAGCGAAAGUUACGCUAAUACCGCAUAUUCUGUGAGCAGGAAAGCAGGGGAUCGCAAGACCUUGCGCUGAUUGAGCGGCCGAUGUCAGAUUAGCUAGUUGGUGAGGUAAAGGCUCACCAAGGCGACGAUCUGUAGCGGGUCUGAGAGGAUGAUCCGCCACACUGGAACUGAGACACGGUCCAGACUCCUACGGGAGGCAGCAGUGGGGAAUUUUGGACAAUGGGGGCAACCCUGAUCCAGCCAUGCCGCGUGAGUGAAGAAGGCCUUCGGGUUGUAAAGCUCUUUCGGCCGGGAAGAAAUCGCAUGGGUUAAUACCCUGUGCGGAUGACGGUACCGGCAUAAGAAGCACCGGCUAACUACGUG
Molecule: ribosomal RNA, 501 nt
Filed under: uncultured bacterium
Lineage: Bacteria
Description: bacterial SSU rRNA
Rfam family: Bacterial small subunit ribosomal RNA
Source: RNAcentral